GUCGAGCGAUGGAUUGAGAGCUUGCUCUCAAGAAGUUAGCGGCGGACGGGUGAGUAACACGUGGGUAACCUGCCCAUAAGACUGGGAUAACUCCGGGAAACCGGGGCUAAUACCGGAUAACAUUUUGAACUGCAUGGUUCGAAAUUGAAAGGCGGCUUCGGCUGUCACUUAUGGAUGGACCCGCGUCGCAUUAGCUAGUUGGUGAGGUAACGGCUCACCAAGGCAACGAUGCGUAGCCGACCUGAGAGGGUGAUCGGCCACACUGGGACUGAGACACGGCCCAGACUCCUACGGGAGGCAGCAGUAGGGAAUCUUCCGCAAUGGACGAAAGUCUGACGGAGCAACGCCGCGUGAGUGAUGAAGGCUUUCGGGUCGUAAAACUCUGUUGUUAGGGAAGAACAAGUGCUAGUUGAAUAAGCUGGCACCUUGACGGUACCUAACCAGAAAGCCACGGCUAACUACGUGCCAGCAGCCGCGGUAAUACGUAGGUGGCAAGCGUUAUCCGGAAUUAUUGGGCGUAAAGCGCGCGCAGGUGGUUUCUUAAGUCUGAUGUGAAAGCCCACGGCUCAACCGUGGAGGGUCAUUGGAAACUGGGGAGACUUGAGUGCAGAAGANGAAAGUGGAAUUCCAUGUGUAGCGGUGAAAUGCGUAGAGAUAUGGAGGAACACCAGUGGCGAAGGCGACUUUCUGGUCUGUAACUGACAC
Molecule: ribosomal RNA, 705 nt
Filed under: Bacillus thuringiensis
Lineage: Bacteria; Bacillati; Bacillota; Bacilli; Caryophanales; Bacillaceae
Description: bacterial SSU rRNA
Rfam family: Bacterial small subunit ribosomal RNA
Source: RNAcentral